RNAcentral lists this long non-coding RNA (293 nucleotides) under Mytilus galloprovincialis (Mediterranean mussel). The record is from RNAcentral. Lineage: Eukaryota; Metazoa; Mollusca; Bivalvia; Mytilida; Mytilidae.
GCCGUUAGUUUUCUCGUUUGAAUUGUUUUACAUUGUCUUAUCGGGGUCUUUUAUAGCUGACUAUGCGGUAUGGGCUUUGCUCGUUGUUGAAGGCCGUACGGUGACCUAUAGUUGUUAAUGUCUGUGUCAUUUUGGUCUUUUGUGGAUAGUUGUCUCAUUGGCAAUCAUACCACAUCUUCUUUUUAUAUUAUGUAAAAACCUAAAAGGUUUUUCGAUAACAGAAAAUGUACCAAUCGGUAGCAAAUGAUCUGCAAUCUACUUCUAGAAUAGUAAGAUAAAAACAAAUAGUUUGG